This 3137-nucleotide long non-coding RNA is filed under the name Selaginella moellendorffii. RNAcentral describes it as "long non-coding RNA (SMOE_LNC001727)". Lineage: Eukaryota; Viridiplantae; Streptophyta; Lycopodiopsida; Selaginellales; Selaginellaceae. The record is from RNAcentral.
AGUUUCCAAACGUGAGGUCAAGCUUUCCGUCCCAGUAGAAGAACUCCUGCAGUCAGGGAACGAAGCCGUCCAGGAGCCACAGCCUGUGCUUGAGGCCGUGCCUGAGGAUUCUGAAGAGGCUGCCAAGGAGGUGGAACCGGCCGAGGCAGUCGUAGCUCAAGUACCAACUGCCACAGUGGAUGACGUCUUACCUGCACACGAGGAAAUCAAGGAGGAAGAGAGCAUAGAGCCGGCCAAGGUGGCUCUGGAUGACCAGGUGGAGAAUGUCGAGCCCAAGGAGAGUGCUUCAGUCGCGAUCCUGGACGAGGGAGAAAAGUUGGCGGUGCCAGAGAUCGAGAGUGGUGCACCGGAUUCCAUGCAUGCGACAGAUGCCACAGUGGAGGACACACAGCGAGCAUCUUCUGCCAGUGAAGACGUUCACGAGAACGUGGAAGAGGAGCAAGCGAACGUUGCGGUGCCACAUCAAGUUUCCGAACGAGAGCUUGAGAUUGCCGUCCCAGUAGAAGGACUCCCACAGUUGGUGAACGAAGCCGUCCAGGAGCCACAACCUGUGCCUGAGGCCGUUCCCGAGCCAGAGGCCGUGCCUGAGGCUGCUGAAGAGGCUGCCAAGGAGGUGGAAGCGGCCAAGCCAGUCGUAGCUCAAGUACCAACCGCCACAGUGGAUGACAUCUUACCCACACACGAGGAAAUCAAGGAGGAAGGGAGCAUAGAGCCGGCCAAGGUGGCUCUGGAUGACCACGUGGAGAAUGUCGAGCCCAGGGAGAGUGCUUCAGUCGCGAUCCUGGACGAGGGAGAAAAGUUGGCAGUGCCAGAGAUCGAGAGUGGUGCACCGGAUUCCAUGCAUGCGACACAUGGUACAAUGGAGGACUCACAGCGAGCAUCUUCUGCCAUUGAGGACAUUCACGAGAACGUGGAAGAGGAGCAAACAAAAGUCGAGGUGCCACAUGAAGUUUCCGAACGCGAGGUCGAGCUUGCCGUCCCAGUGGAACAUCUCCCACAGUCAGGGAACGAAGAAGUCCAUGAGCCACAGCCUGUGCCUGAGGCCGUUCCCGAGCAUGAGGCCGUGCCUGAGGCUGCUGAAGAGGCUUCCAAGGAGGUGGAACCGGCCGAGCCAGUCGUAGAUGAAGUACCAACCGCCACAGUGGAUGACAUCUUACCCACACACGAGGAAAUCAAGGAGGAAGGGAGCAUAGAGCCGGCCAAGGUGGCUCUGGAUGACCAGGAGGAGAAUGUCGAGCCCAGGGAGAGUGCUUCAGUCGCGAUCCUGGACGAGGGAGAAAAGUUGGCGGUGCCAGAGAUCGAGAGUGGUGCACCGGAUUCCAUGCAUGCGACAGAUGCCACUGUGGAGGACUCACAGCGAGCAUCUUCUGCCAGUGAAGACAUUCACGAGAAUGUGGAAGAGGAGCAAACCAACGUUGACGUGCCACAUCAAGUAUCUGAACGCAAGGUUGAGAUUCCCGUCCCAGUAGAAGGACUCCCACAGUCAGGGAACGAAGAAGUCCAGGAGCCACAGCCUGUGCCUGAGGCCGUUUCCGAGCCAGAGGCCGUGCCUGAGGCUUCUGAAGAGGCUCACAAGGAUGUGGAAGCGGCCGAGCCAGUCGUAGCUCAAGUACCAACCGCCACAGUGGAUGACAUCUUACGCGCACACGAGGAAAUCAAGGAGGAAGAGAGCAUAGAGCCGGCCAAGGUGGCUCUGGAUGACCACGUGGAGAAUGUCGAGCCCAGGGAGAGUGCUUCAGUCGCGAUCCUGGACGAGGGAGAAAAGUUGGCGGUGCCAGAGAUUGAGAGUUGUGCACCGGAUUCCAUGCAUGCGACAGAUGCCACCGUGGAGGACACACAGCGAGCAUCUUCUGCCAGUGAAGACAUUAAUGAGAACGUGGAAGAGGAGCAAACAAAAGUGUAGGUGCCACAUGAAGUUUCCGAACGCGGGGUCGAGCUUGCCAUCCCAGUAGAAGAACUCCUGCAGUCAGGGAACGAAGCUGUCCAGGAUGCACAGCCUGUGCUUGAGGCCGUUCAGGCUUCUGAAGAGGCUGCCAACGAGGUGGAGUCGGCCGAGCCACUCGUAGCUCAAGUACCAACCGCCACAGUGGAUGACGUCUUACCCGCACACGAGGAAAUCAAGGAGAAAGAGAGCAUAGAGCCGGCCAAGGUGGCUCUGGAUGACCACGUGGAGAAUGUCGAGUCCAGGGAGAGUGCUUCAGUCGCGAUCCUGGACGAGGGAGAAAAGUUGGCGGUGCCAGAGAUUGACAGUGCUGCACCGGAUUCCAUGCAUGCAACAGAUGCCACCCUGGAGGACACACAGCGAGCAUCUUCUGCCAGUGAAGACAUUGACGAGAACGUGGAAGACGAACAAACCAACGUCGAGGUGCCACAUUUAGUUUCCGAACGCAAGGUCAAGCUUGCCGUCCCAGUAGAAGAACUCCCACAGUCAGGGAACGAAGAAGUCCAGGAGCCACAGCCUGUGCUUGAGGCCGUUUCCGAGCUUGAGGCCGUGCCUGAGGCUUCUGAAGAGGCUGUCAAGGAGGUGGAACCGGCCGAGCCAGUCGUAGCUCAAGUACCAACCGCCACAGUGGAUGACAUCUUACCUGCACACGAGGAAAUCAAGGAGGAAGAGAGCAUAGAGCCGGCCAAGGUGGCUCUGGAUGACAAGGUGGAGAAUGUCGAGCCCCGGGAGUGUGCUUCAGUCGCGAUCCUGCAGGAGGGAGAAGAGUUGGCGGUGCCAGAGAUCGAGAGUGGUGCACCGGAUUCCAUGCAUGCGACAGAUGCCACAGUGGAGGACACACAGCGAGCAUCUUCUGCCACUGAAGAAAUUCACGAGAACGGGGAAGAGGAGCAAAGCAAUGUCGAAGUGCCACAUGAAGUUUCCGAAGGGAAAUUCGAUCUUGCUGUCCCCGUAGAAGAACUCCCACAGUCGGGGAACGAAGAAGUCCAGGAGCCACAGCCUGUGCUUGAGGCCGUGCCUGAGGCUUCUGAAGAGGCUGUCAAGGAGGUGGAACCGGCCGAGCCAGUCGUAGCUCAAGUACCAACCGCCACAGUGGAUGACAUCUUACCCGCACAUGAGGAAAUCAAGGAGGAAGAGAGCAUAGAGCCGGCCAAGGUGGCUCUGGAUGACAAGGUGGAGAAUGUCGAGCCCCGGG